This 72-nucleotide transfer RNA is filed under the name Ovis aries (sheep). It matches the Rfam family "tRNA". From Rfam's summary of the family: Transfer RNA (tRNA) molecules are approximately 80 nucleotides in length. Their secondary structure includes four short double-helical elements and three loops (D, anti-codon, and T loops). Lineage: Eukaryota; Metazoa; Chordata; Mammalia; Artiodactyla; Bovidae. The record is from Rfam by way of RNAcentral.
UCCCUAAUGGCUCAGAUGGUAAAGAAUCUGCCUGAAAUGCAGGAGACCUGGGUUUGAACUCUGGUUUGGGAA